AUGGACAGUUGUGAAGAACAUCGAAUGGAACGUGUUUCUACUAGAGUUCAUUUGACGCUGAUUUAUUAGUUUUGAUCGGAACUGGAGCUACUUACUUUAUUCAGGUCAUCAUUGGCUCUCAGAGGAUUCUCUGCUGCCAACAUAGCCGAUGAAAACAUAAUGCAACACAGGAUAAUGUUGCCGAAAUUGCUGUGAUUGCAAAGCCAGUGGCAGAAGACGCGAAAUCUGUUGAAAUAUCAUAGAGCAGAGUGUUAAGAAACGUGCUCUCAAAGUUUUAUAAAUCACAAAAGUAAAAUCACAGAAAAAACAAAGAUAUUUUUAGCAUGCAGUUAGAAGUUUUACAAUUCAAGUUAUAAACGAAAUUAUGGAAUAAAAAGCAGCUAAGAGUGGAAAUAAAUUUUUUCUACCAU
RNAcentral lists this long non-coding RNA (410 nucleotides) under Drosophila melanogaster (fruit fly). RNAcentral's name for it is "antisense RNA:CR43806 (Dmel_CR43806)". The record is from RNAcentral. Lineage: Eukaryota; Metazoa; Arthropoda; Insecta; Diptera; Drosophilidae.